Molecule: ribosomal RNA, 120 nt
Filed under: Pteropus alecto (black flying fox)
Lineage: Eukaryota; Metazoa; Chordata; Mammalia; Chiroptera; Pteropodidae
Source: RNAcentral
UGUUACGGCCAUGCUACCCUGGAACAAGCCCGAUCCCAUCUGAUCUCGGAAACUAAGCAGGGUCAGGCAUGGUUAGUACUUGGGUGGGAGACCCCCUAGGAAGACCAGGUACUAUAGGCG